CCUACGGGGGGCAGCAGUGGGGGAUAUUGGACAAUGGGGGGAACCCUGAUCCAGCGACGCCGCGUGAGUGAAGAAGUAUUUCGGUAUGUAAAGCUCUGUCAGCAGGGAAGAAAGCAAUGACGGUACCUGACCAAGAAGCCCCGGCUAACUACGUGCGAGCAGCCGCGGUAAUACGUAGGGGGCAAGCGUGAUCCGGAAUUACUGGGGUUAAAGGGAGCGGAGGCGGCUGUGCAAGUUUGGAGUGAAAGGCGGGGGCCCAACCCCCGUAGUGCUCUGGAAACUGUAUGGCUUGAGUGCAGGAAAGGUAAGCGGAAGUCCUAGUGUAGCGGUGAAAUGCGUAGAUAUUAGGAGGAACACCGGUGGCGAAGGCGGCUUACUGGACUGUAACUGACGUUGAGGCUCGAAGGCGUGGGGAGCAAACAGGAUUAGAUACCCCAGUAGUC
Molecule: ribosomal RNA, 443 nt
Filed under: uncultured bacterium
Lineage: Bacteria
Description: partial 16S ribosomal RNA
Rfam family: Bacterial small subunit ribosomal RNA
Source: RNAcentral